GUCUAUGGCCAUACCGCUCUGUACCUCCUGGUCCUGUUUGAUCUCAGAAGCUAAUCGGGUCAGGCCUGGUUAUUACUUAGUAGAUGCACUGGGAAUCAUGGCACUGAGCCU
Mus spicilegus (steppe mouse) is the source of this 111-nucleotide ribosomal RNA. Lineage: Eukaryota; Metazoa; Chordata; Mammalia; Rodentia; Muridae. The record is from Ensembl.